Molecule: unclassified non-coding RNA, 346 nt
Filed under: soil metagenome
Description: partial contains 5.8S ribosomal RNA, internal transcribed spacer 2, and large subunit ribosomal RNA
Rfam family: 5.8S ribosomal RNA (bases 1-119)
Source: RNAcentral
GAUGAAGAACGUAGCGAAAUGCGAUAAGUAAUGUGAAUUGCAAAUUCAGUGAAUCAUCGAGUCUUUGAACGCACAUUGCGCCCCCUGGUAUUCCGGGGGGCAUGCCUGUCCGAGCGUCAUUGCUGCCCUCAAGCACGGCUUGUGUGUUGGGCCCCGUCCUCCGAUCCCGGGGGACGGGCCCGAAAGGCAGCGGCGGCACCGCGUCCGGUCCUCGAGCGUAUGGGGCUUUGUCACCCGCUCUGUAGGCCCGGCCGGCGCUUGCCGAUCAACCCAAAUUUUUUAUCCAGGUUGACCUCGGAUCAGGUAGGGAUACCCGCUGAACUUAAGCAUAUCAAUAAGCGGAGGA